RNAcentral lists this ribosomal RNA (497 nucleotides) under uncultured bacterium. Its description in RNAcentral is "partial 16S ribosomal RNA". It matches the Rfam family "Bacterial small subunit ribosomal RNA", at positions 28 to 507 of the family's 1533-position model. The record is from RNAcentral.
GACGAACGCUGGCGGCGUGCCUAAUACAUGCAAGUUGAGCGCUGAAGGUUGGUACUUGUACCAACUGGAUGAGCAGCGAACGGGUGAGUAACGCGUGGGGAAUCUGCCUUUGAGCGGGGGACAACAUUUGGAAACGAAUGCUAAUACCGCAUAAAAACUUUAAACACAAGUUUUAAGUUUGAAAGAUGCAAUUGCAUCACUCAAAGAUGAUCCCGCGUUGUAUUAGCUAGUUGGUGAGGUAAAGGCUCACCAAGGCGAUGAUACAUAGCCGACCUGAGAGGGUGAUCGGCCACAUUGGGACUGAGACACGGCCCAAACUCCUACGGGAGGCAGCAGUAGGGAAUCUUCGGCAAUGGACGAAAGUCUGACCGAGCAGCGCCGCGUGAGUGAAGAAGGUUUUCGGAUCGUAAAACUCUGUUGGUAGAGAAGAACGUUGGUGAGAGUGGAAAGCUCAUCAAGUGACGGUAACUACACAGAAAGGGACGGCUAACUACGUG